RNAcentral lists this ribosomal RNA (253 nucleotides) under uncultured bacterium. Its description in RNAcentral is "partial 16S ribosomal RNA". It matches the Rfam family "Bacterial small subunit ribosomal RNA", at positions 524 to 776 of the family's 1533-position model. The record is from RNAcentral.
UACGGAGGAUGCAAGCGUUAUCCGGAAUGAUUGGGCGUAAAGGGUCCGCAGGUGGCAGUGUAAGUCUGCUGUCAAAGAAUGAGGCUUAACCUCAUCAAGGCAGUGGAAACUACACAGCUAGAGUACGGUCGGGGUAGAAGGAAUUCCUGGUGUAGCAGUGAAAUGCGUAGAGAUCAGGAAGAACACCGGUGGCGAAAGCGUUCUGCUAGACCUGUACUGACACUGAGGGACGAAAGCUAGGGGAGCGAAUGGG